Molecule: ribosomal RNA, 557 nt
Filed under: uncultured Methylobacterium sp.
Lineage: Bacteria; Pseudomonadati; Pseudomonadota; Alphaproteobacteria; Hyphomicrobiales; Methylobacteriaceae
Description: bacterial SSU rRNA
Rfam family: Bacterial small subunit ribosomal RNA
Source: RNAcentral
ACGGGUGAGUAACACGUGGGAACGUACCCUUUGGUUCGGAAUAACGCUGGGAAACUAGCGCUAAUACCGGAUACGCCCUUUUGGGGAAAGGCUUGCUGCCGAAGGAUCGGCCCGCGUCUGAUUAGCUAGUUGGUGGGGUAAUGGCCUACCAAGGCGACGAUCAGUAGCUGGUCUGAGAGGAUGAUCAGCCACACUGGGACUGAGACACGGCCCAGACUCCUACGGGAGGCAGCAGUGGGGAAUAUUGGACAAUGGGCGCAAGCCUGAUCCAGCCAUGCCGCGUGAGUGAUGAAGGCCUUAGGGUUGUAAAGCUCUUUUGUCCGGGGCGAUAAUGACGGUACCGGAAGAAUAAGCCCCGGCUAACUUCGUGCCAGCAGCCGCGGUAAUACGAAGGGGGCUAGCGUUGCUCGGAAUCACUGGGCGUAAAGGGCGCGUAGGCGGCCAUUCAAGUCGGGGGUGAAAGCCUGUGGCUCAACCACAGAAUUGCCUUCGAUACUGUUUGGCUUGAGUUUGGUAGAGGUUGGUGGAACUGCGAGUGUAGAGGUGAAAUUCGUAGA